CUUAGAGGAAUAAAUAGCGUUUAGCUNAAUGAAAUGGAGCAAUAACAGGUCUGUGAUGCCCUUAGAUGUCCGGGGCCGCACGCGCGCUACAAUGGCAGUACCAGCGAGUUUUAUUCCUAGCCAGAAAUGGCCGGGUAACCUGCUGAAUCACUGUCGUGNCNGGAAUAGUGGAUUGAAAUGAUCCCACUUGAACGAGGAAUUCCUAGUAAGCGCA
RNAcentral lists this ribosomal RNA (214 nucleotides) under Girardia tigrina. RNAcentral's name for it is "partial 18S ribosomal RNA". It matches the Rfam family "Eukaryotic small subunit ribosomal RNA", at positions 1410 to 1625 of the family's 1831-position model. Lineage: Eukaryota; Metazoa; Platyhelminthes; Tricladida; Dugesiidae. The record is from RNAcentral.